UACGUAGGGUGCGAGCGUUACUCGGAAUUACUGGGCGUAAAGCGUGCGCAGGCGGUUUUGUAAGCCAGAUGUGAAAUCCCCGGGCUUAACCUGGGAAUGGCAUUUGGGACUGCAAGGCUUGAGUGCGGCAGAGGAGACUGGAAUUCCUGGUGUAGCAGUGAAAUGCGUAGAUAUCAGGAGGAACACCGAUGGCGAAGGCAGGUCUCUGGGCUGACACUGACGCUCAUGCACGAAAGCGUGGGGAGCAAACAGG
RNAcentral lists this ribosomal RNA (253 nucleotides) under uncultured bacterium. RNAcentral's name for it is "partial 16S ribosomal RNA". It matches the Rfam family "Bacterial small subunit ribosomal RNA", at positions 524 to 776 of the family's 1533-position model. The record is from RNAcentral.